AUUAUAUGUAAUGUUUUAUGUGCUUUAUGAUCCAACUCUUGUGGGGUGAGAGAUUUUAGGACACUGACCGACCCGAAGUAAAGCCAUACUUUUCUCAUAUUUCGAUGUCUUAUGCUACUACGAAAUGAGCUCUUCCCUAGCGUUCUAGACUAUUGGAAAUUAAUUUUUAUUUCCGAUGCCAUUGUCAUUACUUUAGCAAGUUUUGUCACUUAAAUUUGUAGAGUUUGAAAAAGGACUUUGUCAAAUGUCACGUUCACUCACAUAUGUCGUCGUUGUUGGCAUGCAUAGAGCCAUCUGGUGCAGAGUCAAGAUAUGCAAAACUAAUUACCCCAACUUGGUUGCUUAAAUGAACUUGACUUUCUCCAGGCGCCGGUCCCUUGCUUUAGCUUGGGGCCGGCAGCAGCCUCUCCAGCCUAUUGUGUUUAGCUCAUACAUUUGUAAGUAAUUAUAAAUUAUGUAUUGACAACAAUUGAAGACUAUCGACAACAGGUUCAAGUUUUGUGUUUGGCUCAUACAUUUGAGUUAUGAGUUAUGAGUUAUGUGUUUGGCUCAUACAUUUG
This 560-nucleotide long non-coding RNA is filed under the name Malus domestica (apple). Its description in RNAcentral is "long non-coding RNA (MDOM_LNC000736)". The record is from RNAcentral. Lineage: Eukaryota; Viridiplantae; Streptophyta; Magnoliopsida; Rosales; Rosaceae.